Molecule: ribosomal RNA, 253 nt
Filed under: uncultured bacterium
Lineage: Bacteria
Description: partial 16S ribosomal RNA
Rfam family: Bacterial small subunit ribosomal RNA
Source: RNAcentral
UACGAAGGGGGCUAGCGUUGUUCGGAUUUACUGGGCGUAAAGCGCACGUAGGCGGCUCUUUAAGUCAGAGGUGAAAUCCCAAGGCUCAACCUUGGAACUGCCUUUGAUACUGGGGAUCUCGAGUCCGGAAGAGGUGAGUGGAACUGCGAGUGUAGAGGUGAAAUUCGUAGAUAUUCGCAAGAACACCAGUGGCGAAGGCGGCUCACUGGUCCGGUACUGACGCUGAGGUGCGAAAGCGUGGGGAGCAAACAGG